This 497-nucleotide ribosomal RNA is filed under the name uncultured bacterium. RNAcentral's name for it is "partial 16S ribosomal RNA". It matches the Rfam family "Bacterial small subunit ribosomal RNA", at positions 28 to 507 of the family's 1533-position model. The record is from RNAcentral.
GAUGAACGCUGGCGGCGUGCCUAAUACAUGCAAGUCGAGCGAACGGACGAGAAGCUUGCUUCUCUGAUGUUAGCGGCGGACGGGUGAGUAACGCGUGGAUAACCUACCUAUAAGACUGGGAUAACUUCGGGAAACCGGAGCUAAUACCGGAGGAUAUUUUGAACCGCAUGGUUCAAAAGUGAAAGACGGUCUUGCUGUCACUUAGAGAUGGUUCCGCGCUGCAUUAGCUAGUUGGUAAGGUAACGGCUUACCAAGGCAACGAUGCAUAGCCGACCUGAGAGGGUGAUCAGCCACACUGGAACUGAGACACGGUCCAGACUCCUACGGGAGGCAGCAGUAGGGAAUAUUCCGCAAUGGGCGCAAGCCUGACCGAGCAACGCCGCGUGAGUGAUGAAGGUCUUCGGAUCGUAAAACUCUGUUAUUAGGGAAGAACAUAUGUGUGAGUAACCCUGCCCAUCUUGACGGUACCUAAUCAGAAAGCCCCGGCUAACUUCGUG